CAGAAAAAGGGUGGUCAGAGAAGCACAUCUUCUCCAGCCACAAACUAUUUCUCCCCAGGGCAGUAUUUCCCAAUCAUGCUCCCUGUCACGAUCACCUCCUUCUUGUCUGGGCUCAUCAAUAUGUCAGCUGAGUUCCUGUGCUGUGAAGUUACUAAGAAAAUGUGGACCCCACACCGAGAUGAUCAUCUUAGAAAUACGCUAAA
This is a non-coding RNA of Echinops telfairi (small Madagascar hedgehog), 203 nucleotides long. The record is from Rfam. Lineage: Eukaryota; Metazoa; Chordata; Mammalia; Afrosoricida; Tenrecidae.